Molecule: ribosomal RNA, 275 nt
Filed under: uncultured Glomus
Lineage: Eukaryota; Fungi; Glomeromycota; Glomeromycetes; Glomerales; Glomeraceae
Description: partial 18S ribosomal RNA
Rfam family: Eukaryotic small subunit ribosomal RNA
Source: RNAcentral
UUGGAGGGCAAGUCUGGUGCCAGCAGCCGCGGUAAUUCCAGCUCCAAUAGCGUAUAUUAAAGUUGUUGCAGUUAAAAAGCUCGUAGUUGAAUUUCGGGAUUAGUACGUUGGUCGUGCCUUAGGUACGUACUGGUGUUACUGGUUCCUACCUUCUGACGAACCAUCAUGUCAUUAAUUUGGUGUGGUGGGGAAUCAGGACUGUUACUUUGAAAAAUUGAGUGUUUAAAGCAGGCUCGCGCUUGAAUACAUUAGCAUGGAAUAAUGAAAUAGGUACG